RNAcentral lists this ribosomal RNA (792 nucleotides) under uncultured bacterium. Its description in RNAcentral is "bacterial SSU rRNA". It matches the Rfam family "Bacterial small subunit ribosomal RNA", at positions 8 to 796 of the family's 1533-position model. The record is from RNAcentral.
AGAGUUUGAUCAUGGCUCAGGAUGAACGCUAGCGGCAGGCCUAAUACAUGCAAGUCGAACGGUAAGAUGGGUAGCAAUACCUGUCCUAGAGUGACGUACGGGUGCGUAACACGUAUGCAACCUACCCUUUACAGGAGUAUAGCUCGGGGAAACCCGGAUUAAUCCUCCAUAAUAUCAUUGUAUGGCAUCAUAUGAUGAUUAAAGAUUUAUCGGUAAAGGAUGGGCAUGCGUCUGAUUAGCUAGUUGGUAGUGUAAUGGACUACCAAGGCGAUGAUCAGUAGGGGAACUGAGAGGUUGAUCCCCCACACUGGCACUGAGAUACGGGCCAGACUCCUACGGGAGGCAGCAGUAGGGAAUAUUGGUCAAUGGGUGAGAGCCUGAACCAGCCAUGCCGCGUGCAGGAAGACGGCCUUCUGGGUUGUAAACUGCUUUUGUCAGGGGAUAAAAUUUCCAUGCGUGGAAAAUUGAAGGUACCUGGCGAAUAAGCCACGGCUAACUACGUGCCAGCAGCCGCGGUAAUACGUAGGUGGCGAGCGUUGUCCGGAUUUAUUGGGUUUAAAGGGUGCGUAGGCGGCCUUGUAAGUCAGUGCUGAAAUAUCCCGGCUUAACCGGGAGGGUGGCAUUGAUACUGUGAGGCUAGAGUACAGAUGAGGUAGGCGGAAUUGACGGUGUAGCGGUGAAAUGCUUAGAUAUCGUCAAGAACACCGAUAGCGAAGGCAGCUUACUAGGCUGUUACUGACGCUGAUGCACGAAAGUGUGGGGAUCAAACAGGAUUAGAUACCCUGGUAGUCC